This is a small nucleolar RNA of Cavia porcellus (domestic guinea pig), 137 nucleotides long. NCBI's taxonomy places the organism in Eukaryota, Metazoa, Chordata, Mammalia, Rodentia, Caviidae. The record is from Ensembl.
AUGGCCCUGAAUCAAAGCCAGUAGUUUGUUGUAGCUGCUGGUUUCAAACAGGAGCCUAAAGAGAAGUCUUUCGAGGGUCUGUUGGCCAUUUCAGAGCUUUAGAAAUGUGACAGUCAAUUCAUUAGAAAGAAAUAGUU